GACGAACGCUGGCGGCGGGCUUAACACAUGCAAGUCGAACGAAUAGCGAUGGAUGCUUGCUUCUAUCAAUCUUAGUGGCGAGCGUGUGGGUAAGGCGUAAGCAACGUGCCCUGCAGAGGGGGACAACAGUUGGAAACGACUGCUAAUACCUCAUACGAGCGAAAGUCGGCAUCGAUGAUAGAUGAAAGGUGGCCUCGACAUGUAAGCUAUCACUGAAGGAGGUGAGUGCGACGGCUUAGCUAGUGGGAGGGGGUAAGGGCCACCAAGGCGAUGAUAAGUAGCCGGUCUGAGAGGAUGAACGGCAACAUUGGGACUGAGACACGGCCCAGACUCCUAAGGGAGGCAGCAGUGGGGAAUCUUCCGCAAUGGACGAAAGUCUGACGGAGCAACGCCGCGUGAGUGAUGACGGCCUUCGGGUUGUAAAGCUCUGUUAAUCGGGACGAAAGGCCUUCUUGCGAAUAGUGAGAAGGAUUGACGGUACCGGAAUAGAAAGCCACGGCUAACUACGUG
Molecule: ribosomal RNA, 510 nt
Filed under: uncultured bacterium
Lineage: Bacteria
Description: partial 16S ribosomal RNA
Rfam family: Bacterial small subunit ribosomal RNA
Source: RNAcentral